UCUCCGAGGAGCGUUGCAGCAGGCCCAUUCACCAGAUGCGGUCUGCGAGGCUCGGAGUCAUACCUGCAACGACGCUCGCCCA
Molecule: non-coding RNA, 82 nt
Filed under: Delftia acidovorans
Lineage: Bacteria; Pseudomonadati; Pseudomonadota; Betaproteobacteria; Burkholderiales; Comamonadaceae
Also listed under: 1 other name
Description: S-adenosyl-L-homocysteine riboswitch
Rfam family: SAH (S-adenosyl-L-homocysteine) riboswitch aptamer
Source: RNAcentral